RNAcentral lists this ribosomal RNA (947 nucleotides) under Leptoxyphium glochidion. RNAcentral's name for it is "SSU rRNA". It matches the Rfam family "Eukaryotic small subunit ribosomal RNA", at positions 130 to 1086 of the family's 1831-position model. Lineage: Eukaryota; Fungi; Ascomycota; Dothideomycetes; Capnodiales; Capnodiaceae. The record is from RNAcentral.
CCUUACUACAUGGAUAACCGUGGUAAUUCUAGAGCUAAUACAUGCUAAAAACCCCGACUCACGAAGGGGUGUAUUUAUUAGAUAAAAAACCAAUGCCCUUUGGGCUUCAUGGUGAAUCAUAAUAACUUAACGAAUCGCAUGGCCUUGCGCCGGCGAUGGUUCAUUCAAAUUUCUGCCCUAUCAACUUUCGAUGGUAGGAUAGUGGCCUACCAUGGUAUCAACGGGUAACGGGGAAUUAGGGUUCUAUUCCGGAGAGGGAGCCUGAGAAACGGCUACCACAUCCAAGGAAGGCAGCAGGCGCGCAAAUUACCCAAUCCCGACACGGGGAGGUAGUGACAAUAAAUACUGAUACAGGGCUCUUUUGGGUCUUGUAAUUGGAAUGAGUACAAUUUAAAUACCUUAACGAGGAACAAUUGGAGGGCAAGUCUGGUGCCAGCAGCCGCGGUAAUUCCAGCUCCAAUAGCGUAUAUUAAAGUUGUUGCAGUUAAAAAGCUCGUAGUUGAACCUUGGGCCUGGCUGGCCGGUCCGCCUCACCGCGUGUACUGGUCCGGCCGGGCCUUUCCUUCUGGGGAACCGCAUGCCCUUCACUGGGCGUGUGUGGGAACCAGGACUUUUACUUUGAAAAAAUUAGAGUGUUCAAAGCAGGCCUUUGCUCGAAUACAUUAGCAUGGAAUAAUAGAAUAGGACGUGUGGUUCUAUUUUGUUGGUUUCUAGGACCGCCGUAAUGAUUAAUAGGGAUAGUCGGGGGCAUCCGUAUUCAAUUGUCAGAGGUGAAAUUCUUGGAUUUAUUGAAGACGAACUACUGCGAAAGCAUUUGCCAAGGAUGUUUUCAUUAAUCAGUGAACGAAAGUUAGGGGAUCGAAGACGAUCAGAUACCGUCGUAGUCUUAACCAUAAACUAUGCCGACUAGGGAUCGGGGGGUGUUAUCAUUUUGACCUCCUCGGCAC